Molecule: ribosomal RNA, 483 nt
Filed under: uncultured bacterium
Lineage: Bacteria
Description: partial 16S ribosomal RNA
Rfam family: Bacterial small subunit ribosomal RNA
Source: RNAcentral
AUUGAACGCUGGCGGCAGGCCUAACACAUGCAAGUCGAGCGGAUGAAGGGAGCUUGCUCCUGGAUUCAGCGGCGGACGGGUGAGUAAUGCCUAGGAAUCUGCCUGGUAUUGGGGUAUAACGUCCGGAAACGGGCGCUAAUACCGCAUACGUCCUGAUGGAGAAAGUGGGGGAUCUUCGGACCUCACGCUAUCAGAUGAGCCUAGGUCGGAUUAGCUAGUUGGUGGGGUAAAGGCCUACCAAGGCGACGAUCCGUAACUGGUCUGAGAGGAUGAUCAGUCACACUGGAACUGAGACACGGUCCAGACUCCUACGGGAGGCAGCAGUGGGGAAUAUUGGAAAAUGGGCGAAAGCCUGAUCCAGCCAUGCCGGGUGUGUGAAGAAGGUCUUCGGAUUGUAAAGCACUUUAAGUUGGGAGGAAGGGCAGUAAGUUAAUACCUUGCUGUUUUGACGUUACCAACAGAAUAAGCACCGGCUAACUUCGU